CGACGUGGAUAACCUGCCUCACACUGGGGGAUAACAGUUAGAAAUGACUGCUAAUACCGCAUAAGCGCACAGUGCCGCAUGGCAGUGUGUGAAGAACUCCGGUGGUGUGAGAUGGAUCCGCGUCUGAUUAGCCAGUUGGCGGGGUAACGGCCCACCAAAGCGACGAUCAGUAGCCGACCUGAGAGGGUGACCGGCCACAUUGGGACUGAGACACGGCCCAA
Molecule: ribosomal RNA, 221 nt
Filed under: uncultured bacterium
Lineage: Bacteria
Description: partial 16S ribosomal RNA
Rfam family: Bacterial small subunit ribosomal RNA
Source: RNAcentral